AGUGAACGCUGGCGGUAGGCCUAACACAUGCAAGUCGAACGGCAGCACAGUAAGAGCUUGCUCUUACGGGUGGCGAGUGGCGGACGGGUGAGGAAUACAUCGGAAUCUACUUUUUCGUGGGGGAUAACGUAGGGAAACUUACACUAAUACCGCAUACGACCUACGGGUGAAAGCAGGGGAUCUUCGGACCUUGCGCGAUUGAAUGAGCCGAUGUCGGAUUAGCUAGUUGGCGGGGUAAAGGCCCACCAAGGCAACGAUCCGUAGCUGGUCUGAGAGGAUGAUCAGCCACACUGGAACUGAGACACGGUCCAGACUCCUACGGGAGGCAGCAGUGGGGAAUAUUGGACAAAGGGCGCAAGCCUGAUCCAGCCAUACCGCGUGGGUGAAGAAGGCCUUCGGGUUGUAAAGCCCUUUUGUUGGGAAAGAAAAGCAGCAGGUUAAUACCCCGCUGUUCUGACGGUACCCAAAGAAUAAGCACCGGCUAACUUCGUG
This 492-nucleotide ribosomal RNA is filed under the name uncultured bacterium. RNAcentral describes it as "partial 16S ribosomal RNA". It matches the Rfam family "Bacterial small subunit ribosomal RNA", at positions 29 to 507 of the family's 1533-position model. The record is from RNAcentral.